Molecule: unclassified non-coding RNA, 165 nt
Filed under: fungal sp.
Lineage: Eukaryota; Fungi
Description: partial internal transcribed spacer region
Source: RNAcentral
AAGUCGUAACAAGGUUUCCGUAGGUGAAGGAUCAUUCGCACGUAUCCAACGUUAAACCUUCUUUGUACGAGUUAGCCCUGAUCACAACCUUUGCAUGAAAACGGGCCUGCGCUGAGGCCACCCCUAAUACUUGAACAACUGUUAACAAUGGAUAUCUUGGUUCUC